GCCUACCAUGGUGGUAAUGGGUAACGGGGAAUUAGGGUUCGAUUCCGGAGAGGGAGCCUGAGAAACGGCUACCACAUCCAAGGAAGGCAGCAGGCGCGCAAAUUACCCAAUCCCGACACGGGGAGGUAGUGACAAUAAAUAACAAUACGGGGCUCUUUCGGGUCUCGUAAUUGGAAUGAGUACAAUUUAAAUCCCUUAACGAGGAACAAUUGGAGGGCAAGUCUGGUGCCAGCAGCCGCGGUAAUUCCAGCUCCAAUAGCGUAUAUUAAAGUUGUUGCAGUUAAAAAGCUCGUAGUUGAAUUUCGGGAUUGGCGCAUCGGUCGUGCCUUACGGGGUAUGAACUGGUGCAGUCAAUUUCUCACCUUCUGGAGAACCGCGAUGUCCUUAAUUGGGUGCCGCGGGGAACCAGGACCUUUACUUUGAAAAAAUUAGAGUGUUUAAAGCAGGCAUUUUUGCUUGAAUACAUUAGCAUGGAAUAAUAAAAUAGGACGGCAUGGUUCUAUUUUGUUGGUUUCUAGGACCACCGUAAUGAUUAAUAGGGAUAGUUGGGGGCAUUAGUAUUCAAUUGUCAGAGGUGAAAUUCUUGGAUUUAUUGAAGACUAACUACUGCGAAAGCAUUUGCCAAGGAUGUUUUCAUUAAUCAAGAACGAAAGUUAGGGGAUCGAAGACGAUCAGAUACCGUCGUA
This 686-nucleotide ribosomal RNA is filed under the name uncultured Glomus. RNAcentral describes it as "SSU rRNA". It matches the Rfam family "Eukaryotic small subunit ribosomal RNA", at positions 339 to 1022 of the family's 1831-position model. The record is from RNAcentral. Lineage: Eukaryota; Fungi; Glomeromycota; Glomeromycetes; Glomerales; Glomeraceae.